Molecule: microRNA precursor, 166 nt
Filed under: Oryza brachyantha (malo sina)
Lineage: Eukaryota; Viridiplantae; Streptophyta; Magnoliopsida; Poales; Poaceae
Description: MIR812 microRNA precursor family
Rfam family: MIR812 microRNA precursor family
Source: Rfam by way of RNAcentral
UCUAAAGUUUGACCAUUCGUCUUAUUUGAAAUUUUUUUACGAUUAAUAUUUUUAUUAUUACUAGAUGAUAAAAUAUGAAUAGUACUUUAUACGUGACUAAUUAUUUUAGGUUUUUUCACAAAUUUUUCAAAUAAGACGAAUGGUCAAACGUUGGACAUGAAAAAAC